This is a non-coding RNA of Zootermopsis nevadensis, 664 nucleotides long. Lineage: Eukaryota; Metazoa; Arthropoda; Insecta; Blattodea; Termopsidae. The record is from RefSeq and is a predicted model, not a curated record.
GAAUGGACCUAACAAUAGGACCGAAUGGAAGAGGUGAAUUGAGGAGGCCAUGGACCGAACGCGGACCGGAGAGCCAUAGAAGAAGAAGAAGAGCUUUAAAUGAAAUGCCAUUAUAUUACUCGUCAAUUUUUGGGUGCUGGAGACGCAUGUUAUUGAGUUGUCUUUGAUUUACAUUAUAAAGGUGUUUCAAUUACGCCGAUUCCGUUUACACCGCUUCGUCCAGGAACGCAUCCCGGGUGUAAAUCAAGAGCUACCUGCAUAUAUAUUUCAGUUGCAGUAAUGGGGAAAACGGCGAAGGAAAAACACGGGAAUGAGAGGCGCAGGCCUUACAUCUAUCCAAGAAAUGCCCAAGCUCACGCUCAGAACUCGGGUACUUAUCGGAACUACAGUUAGUCUUCCGGGAAUGUACCAAGGUACAGUAAACUUUGCUAACAUGUGCAACUGGUAAAAUGAAAUGUGGGUAUAUAGGAAAGUUGUUUGGCCUGUCCUCUCAUAGCCUUUUGUGAAGGUGUAGGUGUACUCACAUGUGCAUAGUGUCAGUGUAUUAUUAUUUUAUUUAAAUUACCUGAGUCUUUAACAUUUAAAUAGUAUAUUACAAGUGAUUGCAUAUGCUCUGUAUUGUUUCAUGUUUUGUUUUUCUGUAAUAAAAUUGUAAUUCAGCAGG